Molecule: ribosomal RNA, 301 nt
Filed under: uncultured bacterium
Lineage: Bacteria
Description: partial 16S ribosomal RNA
Rfam family: Bacterial small subunit ribosomal RNA
Source: RNAcentral
CAGCAGCCGCGGGAAUACAGAGGGUGCAAGCGUUAAUCGGAAUUACUGGGCGUAAAGCGCGCGUAGGUGGUUUGUUAAGUUGGAUGUGAAAUCCCCGGGCUCAACCUGGGAACUGCAUCCAAAACUGGCAAGCUAGAGUAUGGUAGAGGGUGGUGGAAUUUCCUGUGUAGCGGUGAAAUGCGUAGAGAUAGGAAGGAACACCAGUGGCGAAGGCGACCACCUGGACUGAUACUGACACUGAGGUGCGAAAGCGUGGGGAGCAAACAGGAUUAGAUACCCCCGUAGUCCCUGUCUCUUAUAC